CUUCUGUGGAGGAUAUACUUGUCCUUUCUUGCCAAAAGGAGGCUAACGAGGAGGACCUGAGCCCUAGGACCAUGCCUCAGGACUACCUGGCAUGAUGACUCCUUGCUGUCCACAGUCCACCUGGCCGUGCUGCUACUCCAGUUUCAACUGUUCUGCCUGCGGCUAUGGAACCCUGACCUGUUCACCGGACGUGCUACCUGUCUCACACCUGCUGUUUUAAACUCUCUAGAGACAGCAGGAGCGGUAGAGAUGCUCCUAAUGAUCGGCUAUGAAAAUGUUAUAAUCUGUUAUAAUCUCCACCCGGCACAGCCAGAAGAGGACUGGCCACCCCUCAUAGCCUGGUUCCUCUCUAGGUUUCUUCCUAGGUUUUGGCCUUUCUAGGGAUUUUUUCCUAGCCACAUGCUUCUACACCUGCAUUGCUUGCUGCUUGGGGUUUUAGGCUGGGUUUCUGUACAGCACUUUGAGAUAUCAGCUGAUGUAAGAAGGGCUAUAUAAAUUGAUUUGAUUUGAACAGUUGAUGUUGAGAUGUGUCUGUUACUUGAACUCUAUGAAGCAUUUAUUUGGGCUGCAAUUUCUGAGGCUGGUAACUCUAAUGAACUUAUCCUCUACAGCAGAAGGUAACUCUGGGUCUUCCUUUCCUGUGGCGGUCCUCAUGAGAGCCAGUUUCAU
This is a long non-coding RNA of Oncorhynchus tshawytscha (Chinook salmon), 669 nucleotides long. NCBI's taxonomy places the organism in Eukaryota, Metazoa, Chordata, Actinopteri, Salmoniformes, Salmonidae. The record is from Ensembl.